CGCCGAUGGAGGGGGAUAACUACUGGAAACGGUAGCUAAUACCGCAUAACGUCGCAAGACCAAAGAGGGGGACCUUCGGGCCUCUUGCCAUCGGAUGUGCCCAGAUGGGAUUAGCUAGUAGGUGGGGUAACGGCUCACCUAGGCGACGAUCCCUAGCUGGUCUGAGAGGAUGACCAGCCACACUGGAACUGAGACACGGUCCAG
This 204-nucleotide ribosomal RNA is filed under the name uncultured bacterium. Its description in RNAcentral is "partial 16S ribosomal RNA". It matches the Rfam family "Bacterial small subunit ribosomal RNA", at positions 128 to 334 of the family's 1533-position model. The record is from RNAcentral.